RNAcentral lists this ribosomal RNA (460 nucleotides) under uncultured bacterium. RNAcentral's name for it is "partial 16S ribosomal RNA". It matches the Rfam family "Bacterial small subunit ribosomal RNA", at positions 338 to 795 of the family's 1533-position model. The record is from RNAcentral.
CCUACGGGAGGCUGCAGUGAGGAAUAUUGGUCAAUGGGCUCGCGCCUGAACCAGCCAAGUAGCGUGAAGGAUGACUGCCCUACGGGUUGUAAACUUCUUUUAUAAAGGAAUAAAGUGAGGCACGUGUGCCUUUUUGUAUGUAAUUUAUGAAUAAGGAUCGGCGUACUCCGUUCCAGCAGCCGCGGGUAUACGGAGGAUGCGAGCGUUUUCCGGAUUUAUUGGGUUUAAAGGGAGCGUAGAUGGGUUGUUAAGUCAGUUGUGAAAGUUUGGGGCUCAACCGUAAAAUUGCAAUUGAUACUGGCAGCCUUGAGUACAGUUGAGGUAGGCGGAAUUCGUGGUGUAGCGGUGAAAUGCUUAGAUAUCACGAAGAACUCCGAUUGCGAAGGCAGCCUACUAAACUGCCACUGACAUUGAUGCUCGAAAGUGUGGGUAUCAAACAGGAUUAGAUACCCCUGUAGUC